RNAcentral lists this long non-coding RNA (840 nucleotides) under Pan troglodytes (chimpanzee). RNAcentral describes it as "long non-coding RNA NONPTRT010850". Lineage: Eukaryota; Metazoa; Chordata; Mammalia; Primates; Hominidae. The record is from RNAcentral.
GCAGUGCUAACAUCCAAUUUGCAUGUGCUGGGAGAGAAAAUUCUUCAUGGAUCUCUUGUGCUCCUACACAUCUCACUGAGUCAAGAUGAAGAUGCCAUCUGAAAUUUCUAUUCUAUGAAUGACAUCUGGAUAUUGAUUUCCUGAAAUUUUCUUGAAACUACACCUUGUCCUCUCUAUGAGGAUACACCUCCAACAGCCACAAAGAAGCCAGCCUAGCUCUCAGUCCAGGUACCAACUAUCCAGGAGAAUCAUUACUUCCUCUCAGGCAGCUUCAAGGCUGAAACAAUGGCCCAUGACUUCUGUCUCUCCUCAAUCAAUUCCCUCACUGGAGUUCUUCCCCUGAACAAAGACCAGCUUGUUCAUUUGCAUUUCAUUGGCAGAUAAUAUUACUUGAGAUAUCAUUCAAUUUGUUAUUUUUAUCUUAACAUACACAGGGGUGGGGAGGAGAAAAAGAAAUUAAGCAAACUGUGAAUGUCCCUUUGUUCAGUGUUAUCUGUUUCUGUUAACUAUGUAAGAUGUUGGUAGAUGGCAAACAAACUCCCUGAGAAAAAAACAGUGGGAGUUUUCAUAUGAAAGUGUUCAGAGAGUGGUUCAAUGAUCACUCUGCAAGAUAUUGUAGGAAAUAUCUGCACCCAUCUGAGAGAUUAACUGGAUGCCUUCUAAGGACCCAUCUAUUUCCAUGGUUUAGUGAUACAAUAAUUAAUUAAUUUAUGCAACAGAUAAUGAGUAUUUACCAUUUGCAAGGCACAAGGAGUAGCUGAAAUCUAGAAACUUUGUAUGUGAAAUGUUUAACUUUUUUGUCUAACACAUUUCAUACAAGGGUUUAAAAUUAGAUCCAGG